AGAUAUUUCCUUUUCUAUCUCUUCUCUAUCAUUUUUAGGGUUUCUUUUCAUUUUGAUUUCUCUGAUUGACUCCGAUAAUAGAGUCUAGCAUGAUAUCAGAGCGGUUUAAUAGAUCGGCCUCACUUGGAGCUUUCGUCCGAUGGUAAUUAAGCUUGGUUUGACGGUUUCGCUCAGAUCGAAGAAUCUUCUGUCAGAAUCUUCUAAAAAAUUUCUAAGUUCUUUGCCUCCUUUCCGAUAUUAGAAGACCUUAGC
This 252-nucleotide long non-coding RNA is filed under the name Nicotiana benthamiana. RNAcentral's name for it is "long non-coding RNA (NBEN_LNC039562)". The record is from RNAcentral. Lineage: Eukaryota; Viridiplantae; Streptophyta; Magnoliopsida; Solanales; Solanaceae.